Molecule: non-coding RNA, 6646 nt
Organism: Sus scrofa (pig)
Lineage: Eukaryota; Metazoa; Chordata; Mammalia; Artiodactyla; Suidae
Source: RefSeq, a predicted model, not a curated record
GGCGCACGGGGAAAUGGUGGGCUCCGGAGGAGGAGGAUGAGAAGCCCUUUUCCUCCCUUACCCCGCGGCGCGAGAAGAGUAGGGGCAAAUGAACAGAGUCACACCCAGAACUACCUUCUUCUCCAAGCCAUCCAGGCACGGACCCCGCACCUUGCAUACCCCCUCCAACCUCAAAGGAGAGGGACGAAGAAGGGUCGUGACUUUGCCUGCGCACCCGCUGCAGGAACCCUGGCGGGCAUGAACCCGCAUAUGCGCCCAGAGCGAUUCCGAGUUGAAAGUCGCUCAGAACGCAGGACUGGAGUUGAGGCUUGAAGGGGCCGGGGGUGUCAACUUACCCUGGAAAGUUUGCUGAUUCCUGCCCAAGAUGGCUGCAGCCCCAAUUGAUGUCAUGAGAAGCAGAAGAACUGCCCUGAUGAAUCCAGUCAACCUAUAUGUUAAAGAAAAGAAAAACAGGCAGCAAAUGAUUAGGAAGUUCAGUGAAGGAAAUGGAAAGUAUUUGCUGUGGACUUGCCUUCAUAAGUACAGACACGCCGGUUGUAACAAAGGAAACAGAGAAGAAUUGAUAGCGACUGUUCGGUGACGGUGACGGGCGAAGCCUAAAAUACUGACUAGCCAGUCUUUAACAGAAAAAAUGUGUCCACCCAUGUAGUAAGCAGUUCCCUAGGCUGUGGGUCUGACUGGGUCUUACAUCUCAGACCACUGGAAGGAUGAGUAAAACCUUCCUUGCCAGGUACUAAUGAUACCUCUUUAGUACUGCCCUGGAGACCGAUUGCUCCAUAGAAAGAUUUUCAAUAAGGAUCUCUGUGACACAGAAGAGUACCAACUGGCCUGAAGCCAUCUUGAUGGAGAGACCAUGUGGGAGGCUCCACAGAGAUAUUUCUAGCUGUUUGAGCCUUUUCCCCACAAUCAACCUCUGGACCCAAGAGAGCUAGCCUUCAAACCACCCCUCACUGAUGCUGAGUGGAGCAGAGACCAGCUGUACGAUGGAGCCCUGACCAAAUUACAAAGUAAUCAGCAAUAAAGUGUUAUGCUACUAAGUUUUCUUGUGGUAUGCAAUGCAUCAUCAGAUAACCAGAACACUAGGAUUUGGAGAAAGUUUUGAUACAGUUAAAUGCUAAGUGAAAGUUAAUAUACUCAUCACAGGGGUAGCUGAUCAGCAAACUGUAAUUUGUGGCGUUAGUAUCCGAUUUAAAGCAGAAAGCCACCUUGUCUUGAUAAGAGCUGUUGACAUACAUUCAACUGGUUAACCAGGUUCCUUGAUAGUCUUCUGAAACCUAACCAUAGUCUAACAUCCUGAUUUCUUAAUUAUGAUAAUAAAGUGAACAGAGUAAGGCACAGGAUGUAGGGGUCCUUUAGUUGUCUACUUCUUACGACUCUCUGGGCUGGGAAGUAGAUAGAGUUCAGCUGGAUAGGUCCUCUGCUGCAUGUGAUUUGGUGGCAGUCACUCACUCAGCUGCCUUCAGUUGUGGCUGGGUUGGGCUGGAAGGUCCAAGAAGGCCUCCCUCAUGUGUCUGCUGUCUUCUAUGUGGCCUCUUCACCCAUGUGUUUUGUCACAUCACACAGUAGUCUAACCCAAGCUUCUUUGAUGCAUGAAGGCUGCCUUCCCAGUGGGGGAAGGGGAAGCAGACACACCUCUCAGGUCUUGAGCUUGAAAGUCCAAGAAUGUCACUCCCACUGCAUCCUACUGGCUAAAUGGAGUCACGAAUCAAGUCAAGGGGAGGGGAAAGAGACUCCACCUGUAGAUGGAUGGCGUGUCAUGCACAUACAGGUUGGGAAGAAAUUGAUGGCCAUUUUGGAGACAAACAGGAAGAGGAUCUGGUUCUGAAGAGGGAGAGAGUGGUUCUAAUCCUAGCUCUGCCAUUAACUAGCUGCGUGGUGUUGGCCAAGUCACCUGUUAAUGCUUAACCAGUUUGUUCAUAUGCCAGGUGAGGAGAAUGAGCCAUAAGCUGGAGAACCUAUCUGGUUCCAAAAAUUUGCCUCUAAUCAAGAUAAAACCUACAUUAGCCUAGAAGGUGAGGGCAGGAGGGUAUGUAAACAGAAACACAAUUAAUGAAUUAUCCAAUUGUUCUCUUCUGAGUUAGCCUGAGUUUAACCUUUAUCUCUGGACUGGCCAAUUAGACUUGUGACAUCCCCCUAAUCACUCAUCACAUGAUCUCAGCUUCUGAGGCUAUUCUUCUAUCUUCAGGACUUUGCUCCUGUUACAACCUAUUUUCCUUUCCACCUCUUCCUCUUCCUUAGCCUCAGGGGGUGGGAAAUCAAAAUGCUGUUGGGUUUUACAGCUAGGUAUACUAUCUUUUACAGGGAGAAGGAAGCAUAAGAGCUCUGAAAGGAGAUGGAGUAGGGAUCCUGGAACUAGGAUUUGACAAAAUAAUUUAGCCAAUUGAAUAUAUGUCUAUAACCAUUGUGUUGAACAAUCCAAACCUGUUGAAAGGAGAGAACCCUAAAGUGAACUGGAUUUUUUGUUUUGUUUUGUUUUUUUAAAAAAUCUUCAACCAUGGACUUUAUACUUUCGAAAUAGGCAAUUCCUUCGGCAAGUAUUCUCAAAAAUCUUCAUUUCGGGAGAACUACAAGUUGCCAAAAGGUCCCCUAGAACUAGAUCUUUGAUCAGUAAUUGGGAGGUUGGGUAUAAGGAUAAGCUCUGUGGUAGGUUGAGCACAGGGUCUCUACCAUAAAGAGCUCAUUAUUCAGGAAGUUAUCAGGUGCCUUCCCAUUUGCUGUCCUAAGGUAGACAUAGCAGUUGAGCCGUUACUGGCUCUAUCUGCCUCAGAAAUUUCCACAACAGCAUCCAGAUACAGGCAGAAUCUUGUGCACCUUACCCAGUUCAAUUACUCCUUUAUCAAAGUCCUUAAUUUUCCAUGUGGGAUGUGGUAGAACAGUAAAACUGAGAUCUUUCUGGCACUAAGCUCUUACCCCGUCCCUACGUCUUUUGUACUUUAUUGCCAGAACUCUCAGGAGUUCUGGCAAUAAAGUACAAUGAAGAAAUGGUAUUUCUUCAUUGUACAAUAAAUACAAAUGAAGAAAUGGUAUUUAUUUAUUUAUUUAUUUUUUUGGUCACCAUAAGUGAUAUACAAAUCCUUAUGCUCAAGAACGUAGCUUAUCAUUACAACUAGAACAUAGAUUACCAUCUGCUAGAUCUGCUACCCAAUUAAUUUUUUGGUGUUUAUCCCUUCUCUCAGCUCUUGCUGUUAUCUCCAUAAACUAGGAUCUUCUUAUCCUUGUUUCCUUAAUAAUUCACACUGUCUCCCCUCACAGCCUAUUUCCAGGGCUUCCAUCUCCUCAAAAAUUCAGUUUAGGCCCCACAAAGCCAAAUGAAGGAAAGAAAUUCUUUCAAAUGUUAUGAAGAAAGAUGUGAUUAAAAAUCAAUCCGUGAACAGUUACCAAGUUCUAAAAAUCUUUGGGGAAGAGGGUGGCAAAGAGGAACCAGAAAUUUAAGAUCUCCAGUCAGUAAUGCUUUUCAUUAUAUAUUCAAUUCCCAUUGUUCCUUAAUCUUUCCCCCAUUCUAUAUGGACAAGAAAAUGAAAUUUGGGGUAGAGUAGCAGAUCUGGAUAGUAUUUGCAUCCAGAUACCAACCUAAAAAACUGUCCAUGGGAACUCAUAAUCAAGCGCAGCUAUCUGCUGCCAAAUAUGACAAAUGGGGACAUAUAUUCACUUAAGUCCUGUAUCAGUAACAUUCCAUCUUACCAGAGGCUAUGACACUUUCUUCCUAGUGUUAGAAACAACGAAAAGCUUCUAGUCCUCAAGGGAAAUGUGGCUUGAGGGAUCCUUGGUGUAUGACACACAAAACUGACAUAACACACAUACUUCGUAUUUCAAAUAUAACUUCGCGGUGUACAAAUAAUACCUAUAAUUGGGUUAAAUUAAUGGCAGUAGUCUAAGCAUCGGUGAAGUUCUAGGCCUGCCCUGGACUAGCCUCUAGAGCAGGUUACUGCCGGUGGGUGCCCUCAGGUGAGACUUCAUCUCUGGGCUUACUACUCCUACUGGGAGAUGAAACUUGGCUCAGAGCGCCCUGGAGACGAUCAUUACUGCAGCGUGUGCCACUCUUCAGGAACCCCUGAUGUUCUUACAUGAAGGACUUAGUUGGGGUUCGAGUGAUUUAGACAUAAAAUGGGAAAAUCCGGAGCAGUUCUGACUUCCCUUUGACGACGCCAAAAGGGCAUUGAGUGCAGCCCACGACACCCACUUUUUUCUUUUUCAGAGGAAACGCCUCCUCUCCCAUCCAGACCUGCCCCGCCUCCCCGCCUUCCAAAAUAACUCGCGGCCUCAGCAGCUCAACCGCGUUCUGACCCCAUCCAAACCCCUACCGCGCGCACGCGCACAGAGAGAGCGGCAAAGCCCGCGGCGGGGCGGGAGGUGCAGGCGCGAGCCUAGGCUCCAGCUCUCCCUCGACGGGGCGGGGCCCCGAGGGGCGGGGCGAGAGCGAGGUCCCGCCUUGCCAUUGGCGUUGGCCUGGCCAGGUGGAGGGCCAGGUGGAGGCCCGCGUGAGCAGCUGGCCCACGGGCCCACGGUCCCAAGGGCCCCUGCGCGCAGGCGCAGAGCGGGGCUGGGAGCGAAGGCGGGGGAGGGAGUGCCUGGGAAUAGGCAACGUACUCCUGGCGCGGUGCCUUGCAGCUGAUGGCGGGUGGGGCCGUAGAGUAGGGCUGGCCGCCGCUUUCUCCUGUGGACCGAGGCUGCUGACGGGAAAACGAUCCGGGAGGGAAGCGUCCGCGCCCAGGCCCCUUUCCCUGAAAGUCUGCGGCAUCUUAGAGCCGAGUAAACCAGACAGAACGUUGAAGUUCGCAGACCUCAGCCUUCGAGGCCUCUCUGCCCGCUGCCGGCUUUGAGUCCUCUGGCGUCACUUAGCCUGGCCUCGGUUUCCCCACUCUUGUAGAGGGCUUGUGGCCUGAGAGUGGCCGCGAAGAAGAGUUCACGUCACAACCACUACGUGCCUAGUGAGUUUUUUGAGCAUCCAAGUCACGCCCUUGCCCUCAGGGAGCCGGGUGCCUAGUGGCGGCUCUGAGCAAGAUGGAAGUUCCGCGGUGGUGUAGCGCCAGGGCCCGGAGUGCGCCCCUCCUGGUGGCUUGGCCGCACUGCCUGCGUGGGCUCCAGCCUCGGCUUCCUCAUCAGCGCACAGAAUGUGCUUCACAGGUAACGAGGGAGUGUGGAGUGCCAAGCGUCGUCCCUGGCACGUGGUGGGCUCACAACACGAGUUCCAGGCUUCAGUCAGUGCCAAGGGUAUCUUUCAGAGCAGCCAGGAGGUCCAGAGGUGCAAACACAGACCAUGCGACUCAGGGGGCAUAGCUGGAGAACAGAAUCCAGUUCCUCUCCGACCGGCUAGGGAAAAGGGAUAUGAUGAUUAAUUGAUUAAGCACACUCCCUUUGAUCCUUGUCUUGCCUUAGAAAAGGCUUCCUCAGGCUUCCUUUCCCCGUCUUUUUAGUUGGUAGUGUUUUAGAAAGGCUAGGAAACAUUGAUUUUUCUGAAUUCACUCUUACAUUAAGUCCUGUUCUGAUGAUGAAGAAGGAAACUUGAUUGAUCUGCAUUUGGGGCAGUUAUUAGUGUACUGGAUUAAUUUGGAAUAAACUUGUCAGUACUCAACAGGAGAGCUGGCAAAAAAGCAGAUGUUCAACUGUUAGUGUGGCUCUCUGUUGAAGGCUUGAAAAAUAUUCGUGUUCUGUACUGUGUUAGCUUCCUGGUCUCAAUAAUACCCACCCCUACCUCCAUUGUCACUAGGGUGGUCCUUAUAAACUAUUGUUAAUUCUUUUUUUGAGACAUUUUUGACCUUAAUGUCACCUUUUCCUACCAGUAACCACUUUAAGAUCCUGUUGCUGCAAGAGUUCAGGGAAAAUCCAUUUGUAAUAUUUAGAGGAUGACCACACCCUGACUUCUGCAGAGUGUUGAGUAAAUCAAACUAGUUUGUUGUUUUUUUUUUUUUUUUUUUUUUUUUUUUCUGGAAAAAACCUGCAGCUGAAACUGAGAUUAGGAAUAAAGAAAACCAGCUGGAUCUUGUCCCUUAAUGCCAGUGAUAGUUUCUGUUUGUGGUCUGUUUGUCAUUCAGCACGCUUUGGGAGAAUGUGACUAGCUUUUUGUAAGCCUACCGUGGUAUGCUCUACGUGAUCCCUUGCAUCCAAGAUAUGCACAGGUUCAACUGAAGAGGCUGUUCUAAGAAAGAUGACUGAGAUGUUUCCGUCUCUAAAGAGAAGCGGUUGCAGCACCCCAAAGGGGCUGCAGUCUCAGGAGUCACUCUCUCAAGUGCCUUCCAGGAAGUCCCCAGCAGGGAGUCAGGUGGCUGCAGGACUGGACACCGCCAGGAACAGUGUUGGCAAAAGCGCCCUGCCUUUCAGCCAGUGGAUCUAACACUUCCUGGGCUCUCACCAGACAUCUGGUUUCUCAGCAACUUGGAGGUUAUCGGCAAAGGUGUCAAUGAUGACCCCGAAAAUCAGAUUAAGGACGAUGAUGAUGACCAUGAAGAAGAACAAGAGGUCAUAGAUGACUCGAGCAGCAAAGAGGGGCUCCUGGAAAAGAGGCAGCUUGCAGGGACCAACUCUGCAAACACGGCAAGGAAUGACAGAUUGGAAACAUGAGUGAGGAGACUCUGGUUCCUGCGUGCCAUCUCCCCAGCUGACAGGAGCCAGAAAGAAUAAAAUGACGGAAUCCAGUAAAAAAAAAAAA